CCUACGGGUGGCAGCAGUGAGGAAUAUUGGUCAAUGGUCGGGAGACUGAACCAGCCAAGCCGCGUGAGGGAUGAAGGUACAGAGUAUCGUAAACCUCUUUUGUCAGGGAACAAAGGCGGGGACGUGUCCCCGGAUGAGUGUACCUGAAGAAAAAGCAUCGGCUAACUCCGUGCCAGCAGCCGCGGUAAUACGGAGGAUGCGAGCGUUCUCCGGAUUUAUUGGGUUUAAAGGGUGCGCAGGCGGUCUGUUAAGUAAGCGGUAAAAGCCCGGGGCUCAACCCCGGCCCGCCGUUGAAACUGGCAGUCUCGAGUUGGAGAGAAGUAUGCGGAAUGCGCGGUGUAGCGGUGAAAUGCAGAGAUAUCGCGCAGAACUCCGAUUGCGAAGGCAGCAUGCCGGCUCCACACUGACGCUGAGGCACGAAAGCGUGGGUAUCGAACAGGAUUAGAUACCCUAGUAGUC
Molecule: ribosomal RNA, 459 nt
Filed under: uncultured bacterium
Lineage: Bacteria
Description: partial 16S ribosomal RNA
Rfam family: Bacterial small subunit ribosomal RNA
Source: RNAcentral